GCCCGGAUGGCGGAACAGGUAGACGCAGCGGACUUAAAAUCCGCCUGUUAUUGCAACCGUGCCGGUUCUACCCCGGCUCUGGGCACCA
RNAcentral lists this transfer RNA (88 nucleotides) under Gammaproteobacteria bacterium. RNAcentral's name for it is "tRNA-Leu". It matches the Rfam family "tRNA". Rfam says of the family: Transfer RNA (tRNA) molecules are approximately 80 nucleotides in length. The record is from RNAcentral. Lineage: Bacteria; Pseudomonadati; Pseudomonadota; Gammaproteobacteria.